AGAGUUUGAUCAUGGCUCAGAGCGAACGCUGGCGGCGUGCUUAACACAUGCAAGUCGAGUGCGCAGUCUGCUGUAGCAAUACAGCAGGCCGGCGCACGGCGCACGGGUGCGUAACACGUGGGUAACCUGCCCUCCAAAGGGGGAUAACCCGCCGAAAGGCGGGCUAAUACCGCAUGACAUUCCGGUGGCUUCGGCCGCCGGAAUCAAAGCCCGCAAGGGCGUUGGAGGAGGGGCCCGCGGCCGAUUAGCUUGUUGGCGAGGUAACGGCUCACCAAGGCUUUGAUCGGUAGCCGGUCUGAGAGGAUGGCCGGCCACACUGGAACUGAGACACGGUCCAGACUCCUACGGGAGGCAGCAGUGGGGAAUCUUGCGCAAUGGGCGAAAGCCUGACGCAGCGACGCCGCGUGGGGGAUGAAGCUUCUCGGAGUGUAAACCCCUUUCGACCGGGACGAAACGCCCGCAAGGGCUUGACGGUACCGGUAUAAGAAGCCCCGGCUAACUACGUGCCAGCAGCCGCGGUAAGACGUAGGGGGCCAGCGUUGCUCGGAAUUACUGGGCGUAAAGGGUUCGUAGGCGGUGCGGUAAGUCGGAAGUGAAAUCUCUGGGCUUAACUCAGAGGCUGCUUUCGAAACUGCUGUGCUAGAGUGCGGGAGAGGCGAGUGGAAUUGCAGGUGUAGCGGUGAAAUGCGUAGAUAUCUGCAGGAACACCCGUGGCGAAGGCGGCUCGCUGGACCGCAACUGACGCUGAGGAACGAAAGCUAGGGGAGCAAACAGGAUUAGAUACCCUGGUAGUCCUAGCCCUAAACCAUCAGGACUUGGGGUGGCCCGCGUUGGCGGGUCGUCCCGGAGCUAACGCGUUAAGUCCUGCGCCUGGGGAGUACGGUCGCAAGGCUGAACUCAAGGAAUUGACGGGGGCCCGCACAAGCGGUGGAACAUGUGGUUCAAUUCGACGCAACGCGAAGAACCCUUACCUGGGCUCGAAGU
RNAcentral lists this ribosomal RNA (984 nucleotides) under uncultured bacterium. RNAcentral describes it as "bacterial SSU rRNA". It matches the Rfam family "Bacterial small subunit ribosomal RNA", at positions 8 to 987 of the family's 1533-position model. The record is from RNAcentral.